UACAGAGGUCUCAAGCGUUGUUCGGAUUCAUUGGGCGUAAAGGGUGUGUAGGUGGCGCCGUAAGUCGGGUGUGAAAUUUCGGAGCUUAACUCCGAAACUGCAUUUGAUACUGCGGUGCUUGAGGACUGGAGAGGAGACUGGAAUUUACGGUGUAGCAGUGAAAUGCGUAGAGAUCGUAAGGAAGACCAGUGGCGAAGGCGGGUCUCUGGACAGUUCCUGACACUGAGGCACGAAGGCCAGGGGAGCAAACGGG
This 253-nucleotide ribosomal RNA is filed under the name uncultured bacterium. RNAcentral describes it as "partial 16S ribosomal RNA". It matches the Rfam family "Bacterial small subunit ribosomal RNA", at positions 524 to 776 of the family's 1533-position model. The record is from RNAcentral.